RNAcentral lists this ribosomal RNA (253 nucleotides) under uncultured prokaryote. RNAcentral's name for it is "partial 16S ribosomal RNA". It matches the Rfam family "Bacterial small subunit ribosomal RNA", at positions 525 to 777 of the family's 1533-position model. The record is from RNAcentral.
ACAGAGGGUGCGAGCGUUAAUCGGAAUUACUGGGCGUAAAGCGUGCGUAGGUGGUCUUUUAAGCUGGAUGUGAAAGCCCCGGGCUUAACCUGGGAACUGCAUUCAGGACUGGGAGACUCGAGUCUGGGAGAGGGUGGUGGAAUUUCCGGUGUAGCGGUGAAAUGCGUAGAUAUCGGAAGGAACAUCAGUGGCGAAGGCGACCGCCUGGCCUAAGACUGACACUGAGGCACGAAAGCGUGGGGAGCAAACAGGA